This 521-nucleotide ribosomal RNA is filed under the name uncultured bacterium. Its description in RNAcentral is "bacterial SSU rRNA". It matches the Rfam family "Bacterial small subunit ribosomal RNA", at positions 8 to 518 of the family's 1533-position model. The record is from RNAcentral.
AGAGUUUGAUUAUGGCUCAGGAUGAACGCUAGCUACAGGCUUAACACGUGCAAGGUCAGGGGCAGCAUGAGAUUAGCUUGCUAAUCUUGAUGGCGACCGGCGCACGGGUGAGUAACGCGUAUCCAACCUUCCCGUUAGUAGGGCAUAGCCGGCGAAAGUCGGAUUUAAUACCCUAUGUUGUAUAUUGAGGACAUCUGAUUUAUACUAAAGAUUUAUCGCUAAGGGAUGGGGAUGCGUCUGAUUAGGUGGUAGGCGGGUAACGGCCCACCUAGCCGACGAUCAGUAGGGGUUCUGAGAGGAAGGUCCCCCACAUUGGUACUGAGACACGGACCAAACUCCUACGGGAGGCAGCAGUGAGGAAUAUUGGUCAAUGGGCGCGAGCCUGAACCAGCCAAGUAGCGUGCAAGGAUGACGGCCCUAUGGGUUGUAAACUGCUUUUAUGCGGGGAUAAAGUGCGCCACGUGUGGCGUUUUGUAGGUACCGCAUGAAUAAGGACCGGCUAAUUCCGUGCCAGCCGCUGC